UGGGGUACAGCUCAGUGGUAAAGUGUGUGCCUAGCAUGCAAAAGGCCCUAGGUUUGAUCUCCAGUGCCACAU
This 72-nucleotide transfer RNA is filed under the name Marmota monax (woodchuck). RNAcentral's name for it is "tRNA.Ala". Lineage: Eukaryota; Metazoa; Chordata; Mammalia; Rodentia; Sciuridae. The record is from RNAcentral.